RNAcentral lists this ribosomal RNA (299 nucleotides) under uncultured Clostridium sp. Its description in RNAcentral is "partial 16S ribosomal RNA". It matches the Rfam family "Bacterial small subunit ribosomal RNA", at positions 435 to 751 of the family's 1533-position model. The record is from RNAcentral. Lineage: Bacteria; Bacillati; Bacillota; Clostridia; Eubacteriales; Clostridiaceae.
GUCUUCAGGGACGAUAAUGACGGUACCUGAGGAGGAAGCCACGGCUAACUACGUGCCAGCAGCCGCGGUAAUACGUAGGUGGCAAGCGUUGUCCGGAUUUACUGGGCGUAAAGGGAGCGUUGGUGGAUAUUUAAGUGGGAUGUGAAAUACUCGGGCUUAACCUGGGUGCUGCAUUCCAAACUGCAUAUCUAGAGUGCAGGAGAGGAAAGUAGAAUUCCUAGUGUAGCGGUGAAAUGCGUAGAGAUUAGGAAGAAUACCAGUGGCGAAGGCGACUUUCUGGACUGUAACUGACACUGAGG